GUGGGGAAUAUUGGACAAUGGGCGAAAGCCUGAUCCAGCAAUGCCGCGUGAGUGAUGAAGGCCUUAGGGUUGUAAAGCUCUUUUACCCGGGAUGAUAAUGACAGUACCGGGAGAAUAAGCUCCGGCUAACUCCGUGCCAGCAGCCGCGGUAAUACGGAGGGAGCUAGCGUUAUUCGGAAUUACUGGGCGUAAAGCGCACGUAGGCGGCUUUGUAAGUAAGAGGUGAAAGCCCAGAGCUCAACUCUGGAAUUGCCUUUUAGACUGCAUCGCUUGAAUCAUGGAGAGGUCAGUGGAAUUCCGAGUGUAGAGGUGAAAUUCGUAGAUAUUCGGAAGAACACCAGUGGCGAAGGCGGCUGACUGGACAUGUAUUGACGCUGAGGUGCGAAAGCGUGGGGAGCAA
RNAcentral lists this ribosomal RNA (400 nucleotides) under uncultured Sphingomonas sp. RNAcentral describes it as "bacterial SSU rRNA". It matches the Rfam family "Bacterial small subunit ribosomal RNA", at positions 354 to 771 of the family's 1533-position model. The record is from RNAcentral. Lineage: Bacteria; Pseudomonadati; Pseudomonadota; Alphaproteobacteria; Sphingomonadales; Sphingomonadaceae.